This 271-nucleotide ribosomal RNA is filed under the name Acinetobacter baumannii. RNAcentral's name for it is "partial 23S ribosomal RNA". It matches the Rfam family "Bacterial large subunit ribosomal RNA", at positions 2660 to 2925 of the family's 2925-position model. Lineage: Bacteria; Pseudomonadati; Pseudomonadota; Gammaproteobacteria; Moraxellales; Moraxellaceae. The record is from RNAcentral.
AUUUGAGAGGAUCUGCUCCUAGUACGAGAGGACCAGAGUGGACGAACCUCUGGUGUACCGGUUGUGACGCCAGUCGCAUCGCCGGGUAGCUAUGUUCGGAAGGGAUAACCGCUGAAAGCAUCUAAGCGGGAAGCCUACCUCAAGAUAAGAUUUCCCUAGGACUUUAUGUCCUCUAAAGAGCCGUUCGAGACUAGGACGUUGAUAGGUUGGAUGUGGAAGCAUAGUGAUAUGUGAAGCUGACCAAUACUAAUUGCUCGUGAGGCUUGACUAU